GUUCUGAGUUCGUCUAUUGCUCGAGCUUGAGUUUGGAUUCCUAAAUGGCUAGACAAAACUCUCGUUUGGUUUGCUGCCCAGCAGAAGAUUUGGGAGUUGGAUCCAGCUGUGCUUUAUGAACUGAGUUGUUGAUGUGUUUUUGACACCGAGAUUUAGGCACAUCAAGUCAUGCUUGCAAGGGUUGAGAGCUAUCCAGCAGAUUCCGGAGAUUCACUAAGUAGCUGCCUGGCGAUUCGUAGCCUAGUGCUUCUCCCUCUAUCUUAUUUCCUUCUGUUUUAGUUAUGUAAUAGUUGAGUAGACUAUUUCAACUUGUAGUAUUAUUAUAGAUGCUCAUGACUGGUGAC
Molecule: long non-coding RNA, 344 nt
Organism: Nicotiana tabacum (common tobacco)
Lineage: Eukaryota; Viridiplantae; Streptophyta; Magnoliopsida; Solanales; Solanaceae
Source: RefSeq, a predicted model, not a curated record